AGCAUAAUCAGUAGUCUUUUAAUUGAAGGCUUGUAUGAAUGGUUGGACGAGAUAUUAACUGUUUCAUUUUAAUUUUUUUUUGAAUUUAAUUUUUUAGUUAAAAAGCUAAAAUUUAUUUAAAAGACGAGAAGACCCUAUAAAUCUUUAUAUUGGAAUUAUUAUUAUUAUUUAGAUUUAUUUUAUAAUAAUAAUUAAUAAUAUUUUAUUGGGGUGAUAUUAAAAUUUAUAAAACUUUUAACUUUUAAUUACAUUAAUUUAUGAAUAAAUGAUCUGUUUUUAACGAUUAAAAAUAUAAGUUACUUUAGGGAUAACAGCGUAAUUUUUUUGGAGAGUUCUUAUCGAUAAAAAAGAUUGCGACCUCGAU
RNAcentral lists this ribosomal RNA (364 nucleotides) under Tachina magnicornis. Its description in RNAcentral is "partial 16S ribosomal RNA". Lineage: Eukaryota; Metazoa; Arthropoda; Insecta; Diptera; Tachinidae. The record is from RNAcentral.